GUUAGUACCGAAGUCUGGGAUGGAAGAUGGCGAGAAAAGCUGUGUGGAUUUCUGAGGUGCCCGUACCGCAAACCGACACAGGUAGGUAGGAAGAAGAUUCUAAGGCCAACGGGAGAAGGGUUGUUAAGGAACUCGGCAAAUUGACCCCGUAACUUCGGGAGAAGGGGUGCUCCAGAGAUGGAGCCGCAGAGAAUCGGCCCAAGCAACUGUUUACCAAAAACACAGGUUUGUGCUAAAUCGAAAGAUGACGUAUACGAGCUGACGCCUGCCCGGUGCUGGAAGGUUAAGAGGAGAUGUGCAAGCAUUGAAUCGAAGCCCCAGUGAACGGCGGCCGUAACUAUAACGGUCCUAAGGUAGCGAAAUUCCUUGUCAGGUAAGUUCUGACCCGCAUGAAAGGCGUAAUGAUUUGGGCACUGUCUCAACAGCCCGCCCGGCGAAAUUGUAGUACCGGUGAAGAUGCCGGUUACCCGCGACAAGACGGAAAGACCCCAUGGAGCUUUACUGUAGCCUAAUAUUGGGUUUCGAUGUUGCAUGCACAGGAUAGAUGGGACUCUGGGAAACCAGUGCUUUGGCGCUGGCGGAGAGGCCGUUGGGAUACCAUCCUUGCGAUAUUGGAAUUCUAACCUGCGGCUCUGAAUCGAGUCGGGGGACAUUGUUAGGUGGGCAGUUUGACUGGGGCGGUCGCCUCCUAAAAAGUAACGGAGGCGUUCAAAGGUUCGCUCAGCUUGAACGGAAAUCAAGCAAAAGAGUGCAAACGCAGAAGCGAGCCUAACUGCGAGACUGACGGGUCGAGCAGUAACGAAAGUUGGAGUUAGUGAUCCGGUGGUAUGUGAGUGGAAAUGCCAUCGCUCAACGGAUAAAAGUUACCCUGGGGAUAACAGGCUGAUCUCCCCCAAGAGUCCACAUCGACGGGGAGGUUUGGCACCUCGAUGUCGGCUCAUCGCAUCCUGGGGCUGUAUUCGGUCCCAAGGGUUUGGCUGUUCGCCAAUUAAAGCGGUACGCGAGCUGGGUUCAGAACGUCGUGAGACAGUUCGGUCCCUAUCUGUCGUGGGCGCAGGAUAUUUGAUGGGAGCUGUCCCUAGUACGAGAGGACCGGGACGGACGUACCUCUGGCGCACCAGUUGUUCUGCCAAGAGCAUAGCUGGGCAACUACGUACGGAUCGGAUAAACGCUGAAAGCAUCUAAGCGUGAAGCCGACCCAAAGAUAAGAUAUCCCACUGUUUCAAACAGGUAAGAUCCCUUGAAGACUACAAGGUUGAUAGGCACGAUGUGUAAGUGGAGUGAUCCAUUCAGCAAGCGUGUACUAAUAGAUCGAGGGCUUGACC
Molecule: ribosomal RNA, 1325 nt
Filed under: metagenome
Description: bacterial LSU rRNA
Rfam family: Bacterial large subunit ribosomal RNA
Source: RNAcentral